This 253-nucleotide ribosomal RNA is filed under the name uncultured bacterium. Its description in RNAcentral is "partial 16S ribosomal RNA". It matches the Rfam family "Bacterial small subunit ribosomal RNA", at positions 524 to 776 of the family's 1533-position model. The record is from RNAcentral.
UACGGAGGGUGCAAGCGUUAUCCGGAUUCACUGGGUUUAAAGGGAGCGUAGGCGGCGAUUCAAGUGGCGGGUGAAAUCCCUCGGCUUAACCGAGGAACUGCCUGCCAGACUGGAUUGCUUGAGGCCGGGAGAGGUGAGUGGAAUUCCCAGUGUAGCGGUGAAAUGCGUAGAUAUUGGGAGGAACACCAGUGGUGAAGGCGGCUCACUGGACCGGUACUGACGCUGAUGCGCGAAAGCGUGGGGAGCAAACAGG